RNAcentral lists this ribosomal RNA (1459 nucleotides) under Salmonella enterica subsp. enterica serovar Weltevreden. RNAcentral describes it as "partial 23S ribosomal RNA". It matches the Rfam family "Bacterial large subunit ribosomal RNA", at positions 161 to 1547 of the family's 2925-position model. The record is from RNAcentral. Lineage: Bacteria; Pseudomonadati; Pseudomonadota; Gammaproteobacteria; Enterobacterales; Enterobacteriaceae.
AAUCCAUAGGUUAAUGAGGCGAACCGGGGGAACUGAAACAUCUAAGUACCCCGAGGAAAAGAAAUCAACCGAGAUUCCCCCAGUAGCGGCGAGCGAACGGGGAGGAGCCCAGAGCCUGAAUCAGCAUGUGUGUUAGUGGAAGCGUCUGGAAAGGCGCGCGAUACAGGGUGACAGCCCCGUACACAAAAGCGCAUGUGCUGUGAGCUCGAUGAGUAGGGCGGGACACGUGGUAUCCUGUCUGAAUAUGGGGGGACCAUCCUCCAAGGCUAAAUACUCCUGACUGACCGAUAGUGAACCAGUACCGUGAGGGAAAGGCGAAAAGAACCCCGGCGAGGGGAGUGAAAAAGAACCUGAAACCGUGUACGUACAAGCAGUGGGAGCCCCACCACCAAAGCGUUUCGCUUUGUGUGGUGCACAAAGAAGCGUAACGACAGCACUGAAUGACGGUUAACGGAGCGCAAGCGACGUUCAACAUACAAAGUCAAGCAGUGGAGCGCUUUGGGGUGGGGUGACUGCGUACCUUUUGUAUAAUGGGUCAGCGACUUAUAUUCUGUAGCAAGGUUAACCGAAUAGGGGAGCCGGAGGGAAACCGAGUCUUAAUUGGGCGUUAAGUUGCAGGGUAUAGACCCGAAACCCGGUGAUCUAGCCAUGGGCAGGUUGAAGGUUGGGUAACACUAACUGGAGGACCGAACCGACUAAUGUUGAAAAAUUAGCGGAUGACCUGUGGCUGGGGGUGAAAGGCCAAUCAAACCGGGAGAUAGCUGGUUCUCCCCGAAAGCUAUUUAGGUAGCGCCUCGUGAAUUCAUCUCCGGGGGUAGAGCACUGUUUCGGCUAGGGGGCCAUCCCGGCUUACCAACCCGAUGCAAACUGCGAAUACCGGAGAAUGUUAUCACGGGAGACACACGGCGGGUGCUAACGUCCGUCGUGAAGAGGGAAACAACCCAGACCGCCAGCUAAGGUCCCAAAGUCAUGGUUAAGUGGGAAACGAUGUGGGAAGGCCCAGACAGCCAGGAUGUUGGCUUAGAAGCAGCCAUCAUUUAAAGAAAGCGUAAUAGCUCACUGGUCGAGUCGGCCUGCGCGGAAGAUGUAACGGGGCUAAACCAUGCACCGAAGCUGCGGCAGCGACGCUUAUGCGUUGUUGGGUAGGGGAGCGUUCUGUAAGCCUGCGAAGGUGGCCUGUGAGGGUUGCUGGAGGUAUCAGAAGUGCGAAUGCUGACAUAAGUAACGAUAAAGCGGGUGAAAAGCCCGCUCGCCGGAAGACCAAGGGUUCCUGUCCAACGUUAAUCGGGGCAGGGUGAGUCGACCCCUAAGGCGAGGCCGAAAGGCGUAGUCGAUGGGAAACGGGUUAAUAUUCCCGUACUUGGUGUUACUGCGAAGGGGGGACGGAGAAGGCUAUGUUGGCCGGGCGACGGUUGUCCCGGUUUAAGCGUGUAGGUGUGUGUUCCAGGUAAAUCCGGUU